Molecule: long non-coding RNA, 344 nt
Filed under: Pan troglodytes (chimpanzee)
Lineage: Eukaryota; Metazoa; Chordata; Mammalia; Primates; Hominidae
Description: lncRNA (ENSPTRG00000053177.1)
Source: RNAcentral
GCUGGAUUUCUUUUUAAAGGGAGACAUGAGUAAUUUUACAACAUGGAGAAUCCAUUUGAUGAGGAGGCUGAAGACAAAUAAAGUAGGUUUUCCACCUUGUACUGAAAGCAACAGAUACAACAGGUCUGUUCUGUCAAGGGACACUAAUUAUCUUGAUUAGAAACAUAAAUGAUGAGAAGCCUCAAUUUGAGUAAGCAUAUUUAUUUCAAAGUGUAUACAUAGGAGAAUGGUUAAAAUAAACUUUUCACAUAUACAGUCGGCCCUUGGUAUCUGUGGGGCAUGCAUUCCAGGACUCCCCUGAAUACCAAAAGCUAUGGAUGCUCAAGAAUCUUUUAUAAUGGUGU